GCUGUGAUGAAUCUAACAGCCUUGAUCUGCCAAAAUGAUAAGGGCUUAUGUCUCCUCUAAGAAGUUCUGAGCAG
This is a small nucleolar RNA of Sceloporus undulatus (fence lizard), 74 nucleotides long. RefSeq annotates it as small nucleolar RNA SNORD61. Lineage: Eukaryota; Metazoa; Chordata; Lepidosauria; Squamata; Phrynosomatidae. The record is from RefSeq and is a predicted model, not a curated record. The transcript has a single exon.